This 497-nucleotide ribosomal RNA is filed under the name uncultured bacterium. RNAcentral describes it as "partial 16S ribosomal RNA". It matches the Rfam family "Bacterial small subunit ribosomal RNA", at positions 28 to 507 of the family's 1533-position model. The record is from RNAcentral.
GACGAACGCUGGCGGCGUGCCUAAUACAUGCAAGUUGAGCGCUGAAGGUUGGUACUUGUACCAACUGGAUGAGCAGCGAACGGGUGAGUAGCGCGUGGGGAAUCUGCCUUUGAGCGGGGGACAACAUUUGGAAACGAAUGCUAAUACCGCAUAAAAACUUUAAACACAAGUUUUAAGUUUGAAAGAUGCAAUUGCAUCACUCAAAGAUGAUCCCGCGUUGUAUUAGCUAGUUGGUGAGGUAAAGGCUCACCAAGGCGAUGAUACAUAGCCGACCUGAGAGGGUGAUCGGCCACAUUGGGACUGAGACACGGCCCAAACUCCUACGGGAGGCAGCAGUAGGGAAUCUUCGGCAAUGGACGAAAGUCUGACCGAGCAACGCCGCGUGAGUGAAGAAGGUUUUCGGAUCGUAAAACUCUGUUGGUAGAGAAGAACGUUGGUGAGAGUGGAAAGCUCAUCAAGUGACGGUAACUACCCAGAAAGGGACGGCUAACUACGUG